Molecule: ribosomal RNA, 377 nt
Filed under: uncultured bacterium
Lineage: Bacteria
Description: bacterial SSU rRNA
Rfam family: Bacterial small subunit ribosomal RNA
Source: RNAcentral
AGACAUAGGGGGCUAGCGUUGUCCGGAAUUACUGGGCGUAAAGAGCACGUAGGCGGGGAUUUAAGUCAGGUGUGAAAGACCGCAGCUUAACUGCGGGGUUGCACUUGAAACUGAAUUUCUUGAGGGCAGGAGAGGAAAGCAGAAUUCCUGGUGUAGCGGUGAAAUGCGUAGAAAUCAGGAGGAAUACCGGUGGCGAAGGCGGCUUUCUGGACUGACCCUGACGCUGAGGUGCGAAAGCGUGGGUAGCAAACAGGAUUAGAUACCCUGGUAGUCCACGCCGUAAACUAUGGAUACUAGGUGUAGGAGGUAUCGACCCCUUCUGUGCCGCAGCUAACGCAAUAAGUAUCCCGCCUGGGGAGUACGGUCGCAAGGCUGAA